This 345-nucleotide RNase P RNA is filed under the name bovine gut metagenome. RNAcentral's name for it is "Bacterial RNase P class A". It matches the Rfam family "Bacterial RNase P class A", at positions 32 to 357 of the family's 367-position model. From Rfam's summary of the family: Ribonuclease P (RNase P) is a ubiquitous endoribonuclease, found in archaea, bacteria and eukarya as well as chloroplasts and mitochondria. The record is from RNAcentral.
UUUUCGGCCGAGAGGAAAGUCCGGGCAGCUCGAGCCACCAUGCUUCCUAACGGGAAGAGGCCUCGAGGGUAACCGAGAGGUCAUAGAAAGCGCCACAGAAAACAUACCGCUGACCAUGCAAGCUCUGCAUGAAGCAAGGGUGAAAACGCGGGGUAAGAGCCCACGACGUGUCCCGGCGACGGGCGCGAUGGCAAGCCUCAUGGGCUGAAAGACCAUGUAUACCGACACGCCUUCGGGCAGCAGGCCGGCUCGCCUGCACUGUCGGGGGGUAGGUUGAUAGAGACCGUCGGCGACGGCGGCCCCAGAUUAAUGAUAGGACACGACAGAACCCGGCUUACAGGCUAC